UACGUAGGGUGCAGGCGUUAAUCGGAAUUACUGGGCGUAAAGCGUGCGCAGGCGGUUUCUUAAGUCAGCUGUGAAAUCCCCGGGCUCAACCCGGGAACUGCGUCCGAUACUGGGGGGCUUGAAUCCGGGAGAGGGAUGUGGAAUUCCAGGUGUAGCGGUGAAGUGCGUAGAUAUCUGGAGGAACACCGGUGGCGAAGGCGGCAUCCUGGACCGGUAUUGACGCUGAGGCGCGAAAGCCAGGGGAGCAAACGGG
This 253-nucleotide ribosomal RNA is filed under the name uncultured bacterium. Its description in RNAcentral is "partial 16S ribosomal RNA". It matches the Rfam family "Bacterial small subunit ribosomal RNA", at positions 524 to 776 of the family's 1533-position model. The record is from RNAcentral.